GUGCGCGCGAAGACAGAGCAAAAGUACGAAUUUGACGGUUUAGAAAAUAAUUAACGUUAAAUGUUUACGGUAUUUGUUACCCCCCACCCGAAAAGGCACAAGCUUAUAAUAAAUCCUACAAUCAGUCAAGUGAAGAAGCAUCUGUCGGGAGGGAUACGCUUACAGCAUCAAUAAUGUCGUCACAGUUACACGGCCACAGCGUUAUACCUGUGCCACCAGGAUGCCAAGGACUACACCCAGCUGGUGCAGUGUGCCGAAGGCUCCUCGGACAGCAGUGGGAGAGAUCUCGCCCACGUACAUAGGCGUCAGUCCGGUGCACAGACCGCAGAACACUCCGAUGAUCAAGCGGCCGAUGAUGAUCAUCUCAUAAGAUCUACACAGAGCCGACAGUCCCAUGAAGCCCCCGCCAAUCAGAGCCAGAACAUUGGCCAGCAGCAUGGAUUUACGUCUGGGAAAGAGAGACGUGACGUCUAUUCUGAAAGUUCUCACCUGCCAAAUUUGGUGACCAACACUCCGACAGAGAAAGACCCCGCCAUGCCUCCAACGCUGAAGAUGGCAACAGCAAAGCUCCACACCAUGGUGUUGGUCCCUGGGCUGAAAGGCUCCCCUGUGCGCUCCAGCGACACAUUGUGGAAAAACC
Molecule: non-coding RNA, 640 nt
Organism: Gasterosteus aculeatus aculeatus (three-spined stickleback)
Lineage: Eukaryota; Metazoa; Chordata; Actinopteri; Perciformes; Gasterosteidae
Source: RefSeq, a predicted model, not a curated record